Molecule: ribosomal RNA, 236 nt
Filed under: uncultured bacterium
Lineage: Bacteria
Description: partial 16S ribosomal RNA
Rfam family: Bacterial small subunit ribosomal RNA
Source: RNAcentral
UACGAGGGGGGCAAGCGUUGUUCGGAAUUAUUGGGCGUAAAGGGCGCGUAGGCGGUGCGGUAAGACUGUGGUGAAAUCUUCGGGCUCAACUCGAAGCCUGCCGCGGUGACUGCCGUGCUGGAGUGUGGGGAGAGGUGAGUGGAAUUCCCGGGUGUAGCGGUGAAAUGCGUAGAUAUCGGGAGGAACACCUGUGGCGAAAGCGGCUCACUGGACCACUACUGACGCUGAUGCGCGAA